Molecule: transfer RNA, 71 nt
Filed under: Loxodonta africana (African savanna elephant)
Lineage: Eukaryota; Metazoa; Chordata; Mammalia; Proboscidea; Elephantidae
Rfam family: tRNA
About the family: Transfer RNA (tRNA) molecules are approximately 80 nucleotides in length. Their secondary structure includes four short double-helical elements and three loops (D, anti-codon, and T loops).
Source: Rfam by way of RNAcentral
UCAGUGGUGGUUCAGUGGUAGAAUUCUCACCUUGUGAGCAGGAGACCUGGGUUUGAUUCCCACCCAGUGCA